UACGUAGGGGGCGAGCGUUGUCCGGAAUUACUGGGCGUAAAGGGCGUGUAGGCGGUCAAUUAAGUUAGAUGUGAAAGACCCGGGCUUAACUCGGGGAUUGCAUUUAAGACUGGUAGACUUGAGUACAGGAGAGGAAAGUGGAAUUCCUAGUGUAGCGGUGAAAUGCGUGGAUAUUAGGAGGAACACCAGUGGCGAAGGCGACUUUCUGGACUGUAACUGACGCUGAGGCGCGAAAGCGUGGGUAGCAAACAGG
This 253-nucleotide ribosomal RNA is filed under the name uncultured microorganism. RNAcentral's name for it is "partial small subunit ribosomal RNA". It matches the Rfam family "Bacterial small subunit ribosomal RNA", at positions 524 to 776 of the family's 1533-position model. The record is from RNAcentral.